AUUCAUGGCUGGAAUUCAAACAAAGCCAAAGCUCAAAAUGGAAAUCUUCCUAGAAUGAAAAUGAGCAUCUUUUUUGUUUGCCCAAAAGUGGUAAAAAAUUAAUGCAUCAUUCUCUCUCCUUUCUACACACCAUUUUCGUUUCCUUCACCAACACACACCUUCAUAAUCUUUCUUCCUCUCCUCAAUACCAAGAAUGAGCACCCAAGAGACUCCAUUUGAAGUUGCAACUCCAUUCAAGACAAUAAACCCACACUACUACUACUUCAACUCAACCCAAUCUUCCAUUUUUUUUAAGCUCUUGUGCAAAAAGCGAAAAUAACAUUAUACCAUUCAACUCAACCACU
RNAcentral lists this long non-coding RNA (344 nucleotides) under Vigna radiata. RNAcentral describes it as "long non-coding RNA (VRAD_LNC014455)". Lineage: Eukaryota; Viridiplantae; Streptophyta; Magnoliopsida; Fabales; Fabaceae. The record is from RNAcentral.